AUUAAGAGGACAGAUUUGACUGAUUGCAACCUCGCAAAAAAAUGCUAAAG
This 50-nucleotide non-coding RNA is filed under the name marine eukaryotic metagenome. The record is from RNAcentral.